UGUGGCAUCUAGAAGUUUUCCUGUCUUCCACAUUGGCAUUAUACACCAGAUUUCUAGCUUUCUCCAAAAAUGAAUACUCUACUGAAAAUAAAACAUUUUGGCACCCUUUUUGACAUUGAGAAUGACACGUAUUUUUUAUCACGACUUUUAUGUCGGAUUCAUAUAAGUACUGAAAUCGUCUUUUUGAAUAAAUUACGAUAUAUAAACAGAUAAUGUUAUUGAUACCAUUCUCAUAUUCCUUUUUUGCAUAUGAAAUUAAUUCAAAUACUUCAAAAGAACGAAUAUAAGUUGUUUUCUUAAGAUAAGAUAUGAAAUUGAAAAUAAUAUAUUUAUUCAUAUCAUUCAUAGUAUUACGUAAGAUUGAUACUGACUAAAAUUUCAAAAUCUUAUUUGAGGAAAUAGUAAAAUAACUAAAUUGAUAUUGGAAUGAAUUAACAUAUAGCUAGUACAAUGAAUUGUUAGGGGAGUCUUGUAAUUAAUGAUGCUAGUACGGACACAAUACGUGAUUGGUGCUAAAAGUAUCGUCAUGAAUCCUCGGAGUAGGGCGAGGCUACAUAACUUGAUGCUUCGUUAAAUAUUUAAUAUCGUGUUGAAGCACACUGCUUGUCCGAAGUGUGCCGUUUUCUGAAUUCUGAAUUCGUUACUCAAUACAAAAACAAUUUUUAUUUCCACUUUAACGCGUUUCUUUGGUCUGAGUAAUUAAGAAAGCUUCUUCCUUUUUGGAUACUGUCCUUUUUUGUAUCAUAGCCGAUAGAUCACUACUAAUAUUUUAGUUAAUCUUUCAGCAAAACUUGAUACAAUUUUCUUCUUCUUCCUACUUAAAAAUAACAAAGACACCGUCAAUAAAUACACAUCGUUUACGAACUAACACAUCCGCAACUUCGCAUAAAAAUGAUUUUGUACACACUCAAUAUGCCUAACAAAAGUUGCUCGGAAGUUUUAAUAAAGCUUGGGUAUCGCAUUUUACAAAAAUUUAAUAGAAUUCUAUUGAAUUGGAUCUUAAAUAAUCAAUCAGUAUGAGACUGAUCACAAACAUAUAUUCAUACUUGUGUAUGACUAUUAUGCAUGGUAAAAAGUUCUCAUAAUCAAUAUUGAAUUGUAUAUAAUGAUAUUAGAGAGUAACUAUAACAAAUUACGGAAAUAACCAUAAAAAUGUCACAAAGACAGCAGUUAUUUCAUAACAUGAAUACAUAGGGAAAUUUGCCAACAAAACUGACAAUCUUUAUAUUGUGGAGUGAAUCUAGUUUUGAGAUAAUAAUUCAGAAAUCGACUUUAUUACAGACAUCAACUUCAGAACAUGUAACACGGUGAUGUGGUGGAGAGCCAGGAUCCUCAAUGUAAAUAAACUAAUGUAAAAUAUAGCAUAACGUUAAGCAAUUAGGAAGUGGAUCGUAUUAAGUCAUUGUUGAGUUUUAGCGGCUGUAAAACUCCUUUGUAGGAUAAAACUAAAGUUUUCUCAGUGUUUGUACAAAGAAUGUGAAGCUUGUAUAUCUGGAUCACUUCAGGUUUCUCUGGUGUCCGCAAAUAAACUGAAUUUAUCAUUAAUUCUAAGUCUGUGACAUCAUUAUUGAGUAUCAAAGAAAGAGUUGGCCCUAAAAGUAACCACGAGGGACACCAUUGCCAAUUUGUAAACUACUCGAAACUACCAGAUGUUUUCUACAUUAAAGGAUCUAUGCAAUUUCUGAACAAAUCUGAAUACUUUGGUCGAUACAAAUAGCUAGGCUAUUACAAACAUCCAUUUCCAAAAACCACCAAUUGACUCAGUGAUUUUGUAAAGUGAAUACGUGUGUUAAGUGCAGAGAAUGCGAACUCAGGUAGUCAGGUAUUUAGGAAUUUCAGAUCAAGAUAGGAAAACCAAAAUCCAGGCGUUCAGCCUGAAAAAUAGGGAACCAUGUGAUUCAGGCACUUCAGUAGAAAGAAAUAGGAGAAAGUUUGAAGCAAUAAUAUGGAAAUAGGAACAAGAAAACUAUGGAAAGGUUUGAAGUACAACAAAAAAGCGGAAAAGGGCGAUCGCUCCAGUAACAUAGAUAAUAAAAGAGAGAAGAUUGGAUGCGAGAGCCUUAAAAGUCAAAUAAUGGAAGCCAGAAGAUCUGAAGAAACUGAAGUGAUCAUCAAGAAAAAAUAAGGAGAUAAGAAGAAAAAAAGCCGGAAAGAAGGCCACUUCCAUUCAUAUUAAAGUCCCCACUUGUAUGGACAGCAAUACAGAAGGAGCAAGUGCGGAGGAAAAUCGGUACCCAGCGCAAAACGAGAAUUCACAAGGAGAAAAUCACAACACCAACAAAAGAGAAUUUCAAUAAAACUAAAAUGCUAUUAAGCGAAUAGAAAGAAGAAAUUGAGUGGUAUACUCAACGAAGAAAAAGAUAGGAAGCUAGUCGUGAAAGAACUGGCAGAAAAGACCCCCGCGUCGGACAUUGAAAUACAGCUGAGGGAAAAUGGACUCAAGCCAAAGAGAGUAUAGCAAUUGACGAGCUGUACACAGUAAAACGCGAAAACAGCCGAAAAUUACUACUAAUAUUCAUGGUAAUAUUAGAGCCAGUAGAAGAGCAGUCCUACAACAAAACUGAUAUACCUAUGCCACACAAAGUGUGGUUGAAGAAAAAAUAAACACGACGGACCUGUACAAUGCUACAGGUGCCAAGGCAUCCACCACGGACGUUCACCUCGUGAGAUGCGCGGAAGUCCACAGGGCAGUGGACUCCAUCCUCGGAAAAUUUGAGGAGCCAAGACGUAGAAACUGCGGAGGAGAGCACUCAGCGGGGGUGCCCGAAGAACACCUCAAAAAAUAAACCAGCCACGAUAACACCACAAUCAGGAGGCAGCUAUAGCAGAACAAGGAACGCCUGAGCUAUUGAGUAUGCUGUAGAAUGUGCAGACACUCAUACUCGUAGCAAUACUGAUCGCCCAACAUGUGAUGAAAAAUGAAGAACGACAACAUUAAUAGAUUAAAUUAAGUCAGUAUAUAAUUCAUAAAAUAUACAAAAAGACAUACUAAAAAAAUACAAAAAAAAACAAAUAAAGAACCUUGGUCUUCCAAGGCAACCCACAAGAGGACAACUCUCGACACAGUAACUCCACACGUUAACUCCACACAUAAACAAGUGCCGAGUUUUACAUUAGGGACCGCUGUAAAUGAGGCAAAGGGCCAUUUGGAUUAGAUCCAUUCUUGCCGUACAAGUUUGAAAAGGCUUUACCCAAGACAGCGAAAACACACGAACACAUUGAGAUUUCCAGGCCAAGAAGACAAGAGUGUAUAGCCAACAGGCUAACUUUUAAUGAAAAGAUAUGACUCCCUAAACCUGCCAUAAAACUCAGGGGAUAGAAAGGAGUCCACGCGUGAGCCUGCGAUGCGAACGAGGAUGAGGAUCUGUUGAAAAGACAGGGGGUGGUGGAAUGUCCAUCCCCGCAUCCAUCAGUGGAUUUAUCUUGGGAUUCUUAUGGAAACGGGCUAUCUCACGACCGCAUGUGUGGGUGUGUGCUAUUUCCAAUAUCUACAAUUGUGACCAUUAAAUGUAUCAACAUAAAUGUGGAUUCGUAAAAAAAGACUAUAUUAUUUAUAAUAUGACUAUUUGCAGCUUGCAUUAUGAUUUUUCAAAAUAAAAUUCUGCAAUCAUGAUCAUCUUCAUAUAAUUCUAAUAGGUACUAACGUUACUUUAUACAGAUUCUCUCUAAAUUUGUUGAAGACACAUAAAAUCAUAAUGUAAUUCAAAAUUUCACACAACGUACAAGCACUCUCUCUAGUUACGGUUUCUUGUUGGCCAUUUUUAGCGUAUUUUUUAGAUUUUAUCCUCCAAAAGUGCCGCAAUCAUCCAAAUUGAAGUUUUGUUAAUUUGGUUGUGACUUGAACCGUUAUUGCUCACUAUUAGUGAACAUAGCUCUAAAAUUUGAAAUUACAAUGAACAUAUUGCAACAAAAACAAUGAGAAAUAAUGACAUAUAACAUUUAAACAUAGAUAAUGUCUACUUCAGAGCU
Molecule: long non-coding RNA, 3969 nt
Organism: Diorhabda sublineata
Lineage: Eukaryota; Metazoa; Arthropoda; Insecta; Coleoptera; Chrysomelidae
Exons: 3
Source: RefSeq, a predicted model, not a curated record